GAUGAAGAACGUAGCGAAUUGCGAUAUGUAAUGUGAAUUGCAGAAUUCAGUGAAUCAUCGAAUCUUUGAAUGCAAAUUGCACCCUCCUGUGGAGGGUAUGCCUGUUUGAGUGUCAUUUAUUCCUCAACACUGCUUGGCAUUUUCUGGCCUUGCUAGUUGUUGGAUGUUGAGGGCAUGCAGGUGAAAGCCUGCUCCUUUCAAAUAUAUGAGCAGUAGUAUAUGAAACCAGCUCCAAUUUGAUAAACUUGCUGUUGUCUGUGUUGUUGCUGGGAAAGGAGUAUCACACUGCUUCUAAAUGUCUUUGGACUGCCUAGUGCAAAUAUUUCUUAUCUUGACCUCAAAUCAGGUAGGACUACCCGCUGAACUUAAGCAUAUCAAUAAGCGGAGGA
This 389-nucleotide unclassified non-coding RNA is filed under the name soil metagenome. RNAcentral describes it as "partial contains 5.8S ribosomal RNA, internal transcribed spacer 2, and large subunit ribosomal RNA". The stretch from base 1 to 115 matches the Rfam family "5.8S ribosomal RNA", at positions 35 to 154 of the family's 154-position model. The record is from RNAcentral.